GCAWCUUUCAGCAGUGGAUGUCUAGGCUCGCACAUCGAUGAAGAACGCUGCGAACUGCGAUACGUAAUGCGAAUUGCMGGAUUCAGUGAGUCAUCGAAAUUUUGAACGCAUAUYGCMCUUCCSGGUUAGUCCUGGAAGUAUGCCUGUAUCAGUGUCCGUA
Molecule: ribosomal RNA, 160 nt
Filed under: Phytophthora sp.
Lineage: Eukaryota; Oomycota; Peronosporomycetes; Peronosporales; Peronosporaceae
Description: 5.8S ribosomal RNA
Rfam family: 5.8S ribosomal RNA
About the family: 5.8S ribosomal RNA (5.8S rRNA) is a component of the large subunit of the eukaryotic ribosome. It is transcribed by RNA polymerase I as part of the 45S precursor that also contains 18S and 28S rRNA.
Source: RNAcentral